GGCCCUCUUCUCGUCUCGCCGUGUUCCCUGUCGGAUAGGCUCGCUGCUGCUGCGCCUGACUGCACGCAAGGCUUCAGUAUUAGCGCUUUUUCUAGCACCCGAAGAGCAGAGAAUCGGGGCAUAUGUUAUGCAUCCUCCAAGUAAAUGAAGAAACACCUACUGACUUGGAAAGGAUUUGCACGAGGGCUUCAAAAUUCACAUUCCAGGAGUUCAACUCUUUUCAAUUGCACCAAGGUAAGAAAGUGAAUCGAAUGUACUGACCAUAGCAUCAAAAUAUCGGAGAAACUGUACCUUGGAGGAUGGCUGCCCUCAUCAUUUGAUCUCAAGAGAACUCCCAGUCAUUUGCCCAAGUACCUUCUACUUGGAGUGGAGAGAAUGAGGUGGGAGAUGGAACAGCAGGAACCUGACCAUGAAGAGAGAUAUUGGCAACAAGGCAUACAAUUAAGCUGAAUGCUUUCUAUUAGUUAUACACCUAUUGCUCACAAUUGUCUCUUGUGCUGAGUUGCAACCUCCUGGGUUUUGGCACUGCUUUUGAAACCUAACCAAGAGCACAACUUUCUCUUUCAUUUAAAUGAGAACAAUUGCAAAGUUCAUAUCUCUUUUGAAGCACCAUACAGGAAAGUCUAUGAUUUAACCUAGAAAACAUAAAUAAAGGUAUAGAAGCUAUAAAGCCAAGGGAAGACAGGAGAACAAUCCCUCUAAAAUUCUUCUCCUCUUUCUUUAUGAAUGCUUAAUGUGUUAGGAACAGAUACCAUAUAAUAAGCCACAAAGCAAUAACAGUUUCAGUUCCCUUUUCCAAACUCUUUGCUCUUUGGCAACAGAAAUUGUUUCUGAACAAAAAAAUCCACUCUGUGAUCUUUAUAACAUAUGUUUCUAUGCCAGCAUGAUAUUAUGAAAAUGACUUACAGU
Molecule: long non-coding RNA, 909 nt
Organism: Gallus gallus (chicken)
Lineage: Eukaryota; Metazoa; Chordata; Aves; Galliformes; Phasianidae
Exons: 3
Source: RefSeq, a predicted model, not a curated record